CCUACGGGGGGCUGCAGUGGGGAAUAUUGGACAAUGGGGGCAACCCUGAUCCAGCCAUGCCGCGUGUGUGAAGAAGGCCCUCGGGUUGUAAAGCACUUUCAGUGAGGAAGAACGCCUGGUGGUUAAUACCCAUCAGGAAAGACAUCACUCACAGAAGAAGCACCGGCUAACUCCGUGCCAGCAGCCGCGGUAAUACGGAGGGUGCGAGCGUUAAUCGGAAUUACUGGGCGUAAAGCGCGCGUAGGUGGCUUGAUAAGCCGGUUGUGAAAGCCCCGGGCUCAACCUGGGAACGGCAUCCGGAACUGUCAAGCUAGAGUGCAGGAGAGGAAGGUAGAAUUCCCGGUGUAGCGGUGAAAUGCGUAGAGAUCGGGAGGAAUACCAGUGGCGAGGCGGCCUUCUGGACUGACACUGACACUGAGGUGCGAAAGCGUGGGUAGCAAACAGGAUUAGAUACCCGGGUAGUC
RNAcentral lists this ribosomal RNA (464 nucleotides) under Vreelandella stevensii. RNAcentral describes it as "partial 16S ribosomal RNA". It matches the Rfam family "Bacterial small subunit ribosomal RNA", at positions 338 to 795 of the family's 1533-position model. The record is from RNAcentral. Lineage: Bacteria; Pseudomonadati; Pseudomonadota; Gammaproteobacteria; Oceanospirillales; Halomonadaceae.